RNAcentral lists this ribosomal RNA (468 nucleotides) under uncultured bacterium. Its description in RNAcentral is "partial 16S ribosomal RNA". It matches the Rfam family "Bacterial small subunit ribosomal RNA", at positions 28 to 507 of the family's 1533-position model. The record is from RNAcentral.
GACGAACGCUGGCGGCGUGCUUAACACAUGCAAGUCGAACGGAAAGGCCCUGCUUUUGUGGGGUGCUCGAGUGGCGAACGGGUGAGUAACACGUGAGUAACCUGCCCUUGACUUUGGGAUAACUUCAGGAAACUGGGGCUAAUACCGGAUAGGAGCUCCUGCUGCAUGGUGGGCGUUGGAAAGUUUCGGCGGUUGGGGAUGGACUCGCGGCUAAUCAGCUUGCUGGUGGGGUAGUGGCUUACCAAGGCUUUGACGGGUGGCCGGCCUGAGAGGGUGACCGGCGGCAUGAGGACUGAGGGAGGCCCCAGACUAGAACGGGAGACAGCAGUGGGAAGCAUUAAACAAUGGGCGGAAGCCUGAUGAGACAGCGCCGCGUGCGGGAUGACGGCCUACGGGGUAAAAAACGCUUUCGCCUAAGACGCAGCGGGUGUGACGGUAUAGGGUAAAGAAGCACCGGCUAACUACGUG